CGGGCCGCUGGCGCGCAUCGCGCGCGGCCUGCUCGGCCGCGGCCAUGGCUUCCAGCACGUGCUCGGCAUGUUCGAGAAAGGCCUGCCCGGCC
Molecule: transfer RNA, 92 nt
Filed under: Pseudorhodoferax aquiterrae
Lineage: Bacteria; Pseudomonadati; Pseudomonadota; Betaproteobacteria; Burkholderiales; Comamonadaceae
Description: tRNA-Ser
Source: RNAcentral